Molecule: ribosomal RNA, 925 nt
Filed under: Panthera onca (jaguar)
Lineage: Eukaryota; Metazoa; Chordata; Mammalia; Carnivora; Felidae
Description: partial 16S ribosomal RNA
Source: RNAcentral
UUUCCUACUGAUUUGCCUUCCCGUGAAGAGGCGGGAACUAUUGACAAUAAGACGAGAAGACCCUAUGGAGCUUUAAUUAACCGACCCAAAGAGAUCUUGAUAAUCAACCGACAGGGAUAACAUACCUCUACCAUGGGCCGACAAUUUAGGUUGGGGUGACCUCGGAGAAUAAAACAACCUCCGAGUGAUUUAAAUCUAGACUAACUAGUCGAAAGUACUACAUCACUUAUUGAUCCAAAAACUUGAUCAACGGAACAAGUUACCCUAGGGAUAACAGCGCAAUCCUAUUUUAGAGUCCAUAUCGCAAYWGGRYUUGCGCUGUUAUCCCUAGGGUAACUUGUKSCGUUGAUCAAGUUUUUGGAUCAAUAAGUGAUGUAGUACUUUCGACUAGUUAGUCUAGAUUUAAAUCACUCGGAGGUUGUUUUAUUCUCCGAGGUCACCCCAACCUAAAUUGUCGGCCCAUGGUAGAGGUAUGUUAUCCCUGUCGGUUGAUUAUCAAGAUCUCUUUGGGUCGGUUAAUUAAAGCUCCAUAGGGUCUUCUCGUCUUAUUGUCAUAUUCCCGCCUCUUCACGGGAAGGUCAAUUUCACGGAUAUGGAAGUAAGAGACAGUAAAGCCCUCGACUGCGCUGUUAUCCCUAGGGUAACUUGUUCCGUUGAUCAAGUUUUUGGAUCAAUAAGUGAUGUAGUACUUUCGACUAGUUAGUCUAGAUUUAAAUCACUCGGAGGUUGUUUUAUUCUCCGAGGUCACCCCAACCUAAAUUGUCGGCCCAUGGUAGAGGUAUGUUAUCCCUGUCGGUUGAUUAUCAAGAUCUCUUUGGGUCGGUUAAUUAAAGCUCAUAGGGUCUUCUCGUCUUAUUGUCAUAUUCCCGCCUCUUCACGGGAAGGUCAAUUUCACGGAUUGGAAGUAAGAGACAGUAAAGCCCUC